CGAGCCUCAAUAAUUAGAGUUUUUAUGAACCAAAGAUCAUGAUUAAACCAAUUCCGGGCCUCUGAGGCCCAUU
This is a small nucleolar RNA of Vicugna pacos (alpaca), 73 nucleotides long. The record is from Ensembl. NCBI's taxonomy places the organism in Eukaryota, Metazoa, Chordata, Mammalia, Artiodactyla, Camelidae.